RNAcentral lists this ribosomal RNA (253 nucleotides) under uncultured bacterium. RNAcentral's name for it is "partial 16S ribosomal RNA". It matches the Rfam family "Bacterial small subunit ribosomal RNA", at positions 524 to 776 of the family's 1533-position model. The record is from RNAcentral.
UACGUAGGGGGCAAGCGUUGUCCGGAUUUAUUGGGCGUAAAGAGCUCGUAGGCGGUUUGUCGCGUCGGCCGUGAAAUCUCCACGCUUAACGUGGAGCGUGCGGUCGAUACGGGCAGGCUUGAGUUCGGUAGGGGAGACUGGAAUUCCUGGUGUAGCGGUGAAAUGCGCAGAUAUCAGGAGGAACACCGGUGGCGAAGGCGGGUCUCUGGGCCGAUACUGACGCUGAGGAGCGAAAGCGUGGGGAGCGAACAGG